This 107-nucleotide small nuclear RNA is filed under the name Cebus imitator (Panamanian white-faced capuchin). The record is from RNAcentral. Lineage: Eukaryota; Metazoa; Chordata; Mammalia; Primates; Cebidae.
GUGCUCACUUUGGCAGCACAUAUGCUAAAAUUGGAACGAUACAGAGAAGAUUAGCAUGGCCCCUGCGCAAGGAUGACACACAAAUUCGCAUAGCAUUCCAUAUUUUA